Molecule: ribosomal RNA, 1794 nt
Filed under: Gonionida compressa
Lineage: Eukaryota; Metazoa; Arthropoda; Malacostraca; Decapoda; Munididae
Description: SSU rRNA
Rfam family: Eukaryotic small subunit ribosomal RNA
Source: RNAcentral
GAAACCGCGAAUGGCUCAUUAAAUCAGCUAUGAUUCAUUGGAUCUGUACACCCAGUUUUCCUUGGAUAACUGUGGUAAUUCUAGAGCUAAUACAUGCACACAUAUAGUCCCUAAACCUCCUCUCUUGUCUUAAUGUGAUGAAAGAGAGAGGGAAGGGCGCUUUUAUUAGUAUCAAAACCGGUCGGGCUUCGGUCUGUUAACCUAUUUGAUGACUCUGGAUAAUUUUUUGCUGAGCGCACGGUCUUUUGCACCGGCGCCGCUUCUUUCAAGUGUCUGCCUUAUCAGCUUUCGAUUGUAUGUUAUGUGCCUACAAUGGCUAUAACGGGUAACGGGGAAUCAGGGUUCGAUUCCGGAGAGGGAGCCUGAGAAACGGCUACCACAUCUAAGGAAGGCAGCAGGCACGCAAAUUACCCACUCCCGGUACGGGGAGGUAGUGACGAAAAAUAACGAUGCGAGACUCAUCCGAGGCUUCGCAAUCGGAAUGAGUACACUUUAAAUCCUUUAACGAGGAUCAAUUGGAGGGCAAGUCUGGUGCCAGCAGCCGCGGUAAUUCCAGCUCCAAUGGCGUAUAUUAAAGUUGUUGCGGUUAAAAAGCUCGUAGUUGGAUUUCAGUAUUGGACUGAUGAGUUUUUUCACCUUCUGGUGAUUAAACGGAAUCAAGCUUCAAAACCUGCUAUCACAAUAAUUACAUUGUGUAUGGCUCAACUAGCUCACACGGGGUGCUCUUAAUCGAGUGUCCCGAGUGGCUGGUAUGUUUACUUUGAAAAAAUUAGAGUGCUCAGAGCAGGCUACAAAUGGCCUGAAUGUCUAUGCAUGGAAUAAUAUAAGAGGACCUCGGUUUUAUGUUUUACCGUGUUUCUUUUGGAAACCCGAGGUAAUGAUUAAUAGGACCAAGUGAGGGUAUUAGUACUGCGACGCUAGAGGUGAAAUCUGACCUCCAAGGAUGCAUUCAUUAAUCAAGAACGAAAGUUAGAGGUUCGAAGGCGAUCAGAUACCGCCCUAGUUCUAACCAUAAACGAUGCUAACCAGCGAUCCGCCGUAGUUAUUCCCAUGACUCGGCGGGCAGCUUCUGGGAAACCAAAGUCUUUGAGUUCCGGGGGAAGUAUGGUUGCAAAUCUGAAACUUAAAGGAAUUGACGGAAGGGCACCACCAGGAGUGGAGCCUGCGGCUUAAUUUGACUCAACACGGGAAACCUCACCAGGCCCAGACACUGGAAGGAUUGACAGAUUGAGAGCUCUUUCUCGAUUCAGUGGGUGGUGGUGCAUGGCCGUUCUUAGUUGGUGGAGCGAUUUGUCUGGUUAAUUCCGAUAACGAACGAGACUCUGGCCUAUUAACUAGUCGACGGAUUUCCAAACCAUGCAAUUGGUGUCCAGUUCGCAACAUUAUCUUCUUAGAGGGAUAAGCGGUAGUCCUAGCCGCACGAGAAUGAGCAAUAACAGGUCUGUGAUGCCCUUAGAUGUUCUGGGCCGCACGCGCGCUACACUGAAGGGAUCAGAAUGUUUUCCCCCUCCGAAAGGAGCGGGUAACCCGAUGAAACCCCUUCGUGAUAGGGAUUGGGGCUUGUAAUUAUUUCCCAUGAACGAGGAAUUCCCAGUAAGCGCAGAUCAAGAGUUUGCGUUGAUUACGUCCCUGCCCUUUGUACACACCGCCCGUCGCUACUACCGAUUGAAUGAUUUAGUGAGGCCUUCGGACUGUCGCUCUUGGAUAUCUUGGCUUAAUGCUAGUUCCUAGAGCUGACGGAAAGAUGUCCAAACUUGAUCAUUUAGAGGAAGUAAAAGUCGUAACAAGGUUUCC